UACGAAGGGGGCUAGCGUUGCUCGGAAUCACUGGGCGUAAAGCGCACGUAGGCGGCUUACUAAGUCAGGGGUGAAAUCCUGGAGCUCAACUCCAGAACUGCCUUUGAUACUGGUGAGCUUGAGUUCGGGAGAGGUGAGUGGAACUGCGAGUGUAGAGGUGAAAUUCGUAGAUAUUCGCAAGAACACCAGUGGCGAAGGCGGCUCACUGGCCCGAUACUGACGCUGAGGCGCGAAAGCUAGGGGAGCAAACGGG
Molecule: ribosomal RNA, 253 nt
Filed under: uncultured bacterium
Lineage: Bacteria
Description: partial 16S ribosomal RNA
Rfam family: Bacterial small subunit ribosomal RNA
Source: RNAcentral